GCAGAUAAGCUUCAUGCCAUCGAGUUUUAUUAACUUGGACUGGCCAUAGCCUUUAAAUUCGGGCAAUGGCAAAUACGCUCCAUGCCCUCGAGUUUUAUUAACUCGGACUAUCCUUAGCCUUUGAAUUCGGGCAAUUCAAAAUAAGCUUCAUGCCCUCAAGUUGUAUUAACUCGGACUAGCCUUAGUCUUCAAAUACGGGCAAUGCCUAAUAAGCUUCAUGCCCUCGAGUUUUAUUAACUCGGACAAGACCUAGCCUUUAAAUCCGAGCAAAUCCAAAUAACCUUCAUGCCCUCGAGUUUUAUUAACUCGGACUAGACCUAGCCUUUAUAUCCGAGCAAUGCCAAAUAAGAUUCAUGCCCUCGAGUUUUAUUAAAUCACACUUGCCUUAGCCUUUAUAUUCGGGCAAUGCCAAAUA
This 415-nucleotide long non-coding RNA is filed under the name Nicotiana tabacum (common tobacco). RNAcentral describes it as "long non-coding RNA (NTAB_LNC003915)". Lineage: Eukaryota; Viridiplantae; Streptophyta; Magnoliopsida; Solanales; Solanaceae. The record is from RNAcentral.